GCAGCCUCCUGUGAGUUCCUGUCAUUCUUGGUUGAAGUCCUGAAUGUUGGCAGACUGUUCCCAAAGGCAAAGUAAAAUUCCCUUCAAAAAUCUCAAGAAGUAGAGAAUUUGGUGUUACUUUGGAUGCCAUGUUCUGUGAAGAGUUCCAUCCAUAUCAUACUUAAACAUCUCAAAGACUGUCUGAAAUGUGGCAAAUUGGAAUGGCAAAAAUAUCUGUCAAAUAGAUCAGUUCUUAAAGAAGAAAGAUGCUAAGCUCUGCAACC
This 263-nucleotide long non-coding RNA is filed under the name Dasypus novemcinctus (nine-banded armadillo). RNAcentral describes it as "lncRNA (ENSDNOG00000050535.1)". The record is from RNAcentral. Lineage: Eukaryota; Metazoa; Chordata; Mammalia; Cingulata; Dasypodidae.